This is a long non-coding RNA of Lycium barbarum (goji berry), 3173 nucleotides long. RefSeq lists it as uncharacterized. NCBI's taxonomy places the organism in Eukaryota, Viridiplantae, Streptophyta, Magnoliopsida, Solanales, Solanaceae. The transcript is spliced from 2 exons. The record is from RefSeq and is a predicted model, not a curated record.
UACGUGCCCCAUCUUUUACCUUUCCUUUCCAAUUUUGCCUUUUCUUUUAAAAUCCAACGGAACUAUGUAUUAUCUGUUUAAGUUCUCCGGCCUAGUUUGAUCAUGUGAUUCGUCUGUAGGGCAGUCGACUUUAAUAGUGCUAUGUAUAGCCCUGUGACGAUCUUAAUCCCUUGAUACAUGAUGCCUAAUUUAAUCUUGAGUCUGGUUUAUGUGUAAAGGUGAAAGGCGAUUUCAUGAACUUGUGGUCAGAGUAUUGUGUAUGUAGCAUUGUCCAUCUUGUUUUUUAAAAUGUGCUUAAGCAGUUUGGUAAUGAGUUAAAACUGGUAUUACAUGUCUCUGAAUAAAGCUAAAACACUGUAAGUUCUCCUUACAUGGCCUUAAUUUUGUGAUAAGUUGUCUGUUCCUAUGAAAAGAGUUUAGGAUAUGAUGUGUUGGCCUUGGGAAACACCUAUAGUGAAGAGAUUUCACUUCUUUCAAACAAAAGGAGCUAAUUUGGUUCUGUCUUUAAACAACUAAGUUGUGAGUGAAUUUUAAACUGUUUGGUGGUAUCAUCUUGUUCAUGACUAGGCCCUGAAUAGGUUUUGUAAAACUAAAAAGAGGAAUAUAUAGACAGUCUGGUUGUUGUUGUGAAUCGGCUUUUGAAGUCUGUUAUGUAAGCUUGAGGUGUCCAUAUAUGUGACUUUGUUUCUCUGUUGAAUGUAUGCCAUGCUCAGUCUUGUGUAGAUGUUCUAAGAAUGCUUUCACACUGUGUGUAAUCUUGUGUAUGGAGUGUGAUCUGGAGAGUAAAUGUUUGAGAUGCUUCACUGUCAAGAUGUUCUGUAUGGAUCUGUCUUCACCUAAGUCUAUAUCUUAGGUGUUUAGAUGGCUGGGGUCCUAUCUCUUUUAUUUAUUUCUCAAUAUGAUUGAAAGUCUGUUUAGAGGUCUAGUGAUUGUUUAACACAUGCCUUUUUAGCAUUAUAUGGGGUUUGCCUGAAAUAAAAUGGGGAUUAGUUUAGUAAUCAUAGAUAUGAUAUGCUUGGAGGAUUAACUUAGUGCCUAUUUAAUAGCAACUUAGGAUGUAUGAUAGGUUUACUCAGUUAAUUGUCCUUUAAGUUUCUUCAUAAUGAGUGUAUCCUUAGCUAAAUCACCUUGUGGAUUAACAGCUCUCAGUUUGGUUCAAGUGUUGACUAGUUAAAACUUCAGUUUAUUUCAAAAAGAAGUAAAUAGCUACUAGUCCUAUUCAAGAUUUCCUGAAGUUAAGCUCUAAUUACCUUUUACUUUGGUGAAUGUUGUGGAAAACUAUGUGUAAUUCUCUAUAUUAGUUUGAUGGCUCAGUGUAUUUAAUGUUAAAAUCUUAAAAUUGUGACUGUUUUCCUGGGAUACAAUCUCUGAAAUUGUGCCACCUUCAAACAAUUUUUCUCCCUAAGUUUGUCCAGUCAAAGGUAAAUAAGAAUGACUAAAUGUGUUCAUCCAACUUCAAUUUGUUUGUGAUCUGUUGGAAUCAUGUUGAGUGAUUAACAAAUCACCUUUGAGUUUAGACAGUUAAUGGUGUUUUCAAUCCUUUUGAUUAUGUUCUUUUCCCUGAAGUAUUUAAGAUGUGAAUAGAGACCCAUCUUCUUAUGUUUGAAUCGGUAAAAUUAAGAGUAUGCUAAAAGAUAGGGGAAUCUGCUUUUGUUAUAAUCUGCAUUAGUUAAAAGAAGAAGCUGAUCUUGAAUUGUUGUGUCCCUUGUUGGUUGUCAUCAUCCAUCUAAAUACGUAAAAGGGAUAUAAUAUCCAUUCUAUGUUGAUUACAUUAGUAAGUGACAAGAUCAUUGGAUGAAUAGCAUGAGAGGAAUCUAGGAGUGACUAAUUCUGCCUGCCCUGCCCUGCCCUGUGUCUCUAGCUUGAAUCAUUUAUGUUGAAUAGACUAAUCAGACUUAGCUUGACAUUUAUGGACCUAUGAGCCACUGAAAUCUUCUUUUAACUAAGCUUGAGACUUGAAGGGACAAACAACAUCCUGUUUUCCUGGAAGCUAAUGUCUACAAGAACUGCUUUCCUACAUGUAUGUCUAUGAAAUGUUUUAUGUUCUGGAGUAUAGUUUCAGCAUGCUUAGAACUUUCCUUUAAGUAAUUUCAUUGCUUGAAUCUUUAUCCUCUUGUUGUUAUGCUGGUUGAAAAGUCAAGGCAAGCUUUGGGUUCAGUUUAGCCUCCUCCGAUAGCCUGCCAUGCCUAAGGUUCUAGAAACCUUUUGAUCUUGUGCGGCAUCGGAAGCACGGAUGGUGGUAACCCCUUUGAUUGCUUAUACCUUUUGAGUUUGAGGUCCUACUGUAGUGUUGUGAUGCUUAUAAUCAGUCUUAGAGUUUAUCUCAAGGGAUAUACUAUAUUGAGUUGUGUGUUCCUAUGUAGUAAUUUAUUAUUUGCUAAGAUCUUAUUCAAUAAGUUGUUCUGAAUGCUUGUUGCUCCUGUUGUUUGCAAGAUUAUGCUUUAAUUAAUUCAAACCAAGAUGUGAUAGUACCUUGUUACAACUUUUCUAUGUACAAAUACUCAUUCUUUACCCCUCCUCUUCUUUGCAUGACAUGGGGAAUUAUCAAAUCCCCAAAUGCUCCUGAGAUGCUACUGCCCUUGGAGUAUUUUAUUGCUGCACUUGAAUGCCAUUACCUUGAUGAAGCUGCUGCAUUGUUGAGCUGGUCUCUGUUGCAUUUGUGGCCAACUUGUGACUUCAUAUGAAUGCAAGUUUGCUGCUGUUCUGCCUAAUAGAAAUAACUGCUAUGCUUGAUGGGUUGCUAAUAUUGUUGAGAGGUUGUACCUUGAGCAGUGCUGCACUGUUUGAUUUAGCUGCUAUUCUUUCCUGGAAAACAGUCUGCUCACUUUUCUGUUGGCUGCUACUUGAUAUGGGCUGCUGUUCUAUUUUGAGAAGGAAAAUCUGUGGAACAAAGGCUUAUAAAGACGAAGCAAGAGAAGUGGAUAUUUGGAGCUUGGAGCUUUGGAUGACGAAUCAGCAAACGCGGAAUAAUCGUGAUUAGAGGUCCAAGGACGCGAGGAGAUAGUAUUAGCUAUUCUAAUCUUUCUCCACCUCCCCCUCUCUCCCUCUCUUUAUUGGUCUUUUGUAAUUUGUAUACAUAUAUGACUUGUAAAUGCUUGUGUAUUAUUGAAACCCAUAGUUAGAACUUAGCUGAAACAAUUUUCAAAUAGAUGGUCUUUUUAUUAUUUUAGAAA